This 206-nucleotide long non-coding RNA is filed under the name Elaeis guineensis (African oil palm). Its description in RNAcentral is "long non-coding RNA (EGUI_LNC005622)". Lineage: Eukaryota; Viridiplantae; Streptophyta; Magnoliopsida; Arecales; Arecaceae. The record is from RNAcentral.
UGUCAAUAGGCUUCGAAGCAGAAUAUUUUUUUUUUGUUCCACAACGCCCAAGCUAGAACUGUUAUCCGUAGGUCUCAAGAAAUUGACUUAUCUAGCGCCAGUUGAGUUAGCUCAUUGAUUUAAAUACAAGAAGAAAGGAUCUGAAAGACACUGUUCUAAUAUAAAUUUUUGACCCUAGAAUCCGCAUCACCAAAAAUUCUGUCCCA